AUUAGAAGAAUAUGUUAGAAAAGGUCUAUCAUAGAGAGGACAACACUUUUAAUGUCAUAAUUCUUCAAUUAUAAAUUGUUGUAUGAAGAAAUAAGAGUUGCUUUGAACAACCCUUAGUCAAUACAAACACUUAGUGCUUAUUUCUUUAUUAAUUGAACAAAGAACUUGAGAAGUAAGUACAAGGGCAUGGACACUUUAUGUGCCAUGAUUCUUCACUUACAAAUUGUUGUAUGAAGAAAUGAGAGUUGCCUUGUACAACUCUUGAAAGUUUGUAAUUAUGUUUAGAACAUAAUGGUUGGUUGACAAAAAUAGUCCAUUAACAUGGACUUAUGAUGAUUUUGAAUCAUUAAGUGUUGAAGUGUUAAACCACUUAACGAGACGGAAACUAGGCAAGGACUUCACCUUUGUUUCCCUAUCCUAAUGGUUCACUAAGUUUAUGGUAAACUAUGUAAUGAACAAUAACCACAUACUCUCCAAAUUGUUUGAUGUGUAUAACACAAUUGAAAAAGGUUUCAAGAGAGAUAG
This 525-nucleotide long non-coding RNA is filed under the name Malus domestica (apple). RNAcentral describes it as "long non-coding RNA (MDOM_LNC018906)". The record is from RNAcentral. Lineage: Eukaryota; Viridiplantae; Streptophyta; Magnoliopsida; Rosales; Rosaceae.